Molecule: unclassified non-coding RNA, 318 nt
Organism: Cricetulus griseus (Chinese hamster)
Lineage: Eukaryota; Metazoa; Chordata; Mammalia; Rodentia; Cricetidae
Gene: 7SK
Rfam family: 7SK RNA
About the family: 7SK was discovered as an abundant small nuclear RNA in the mid-70s but a possible function has only recently been suggested. Two independent studies have found that 7SK RNA binds the CDK9/cyclin T complex (known as elongation factor P-TEFb). P-TEFb activates transcription by phosphorylating the C-terminal domain of RNA polymerase II.
Source: Ensembl
GAUGGUUAGGUUGUGCUCUGGCUGCAAAAUCUGUCACUGCAUGAAAGCCAGGAUUGAUUCAUCUUAUCUGGCUGGCUAGGUGACUGGCCCCUUACAUUCUCAGCACCUCAUAUGCAUCCUUCCCAAAGGUGUACCCUUGGUCAAAGAGGAGGAUCUUCCCCAAGUGGAGGAGGACCAGUCUUUGCUCAAAAGUAUCCAUGUAGCUGUACCCCCAUGCUAGAAGCUCCAAACAAGAUCUUAAAGGUGUUUUCAUUGUGUGCCUUCUCAAAACCCUCAAUUUAAAGUUUUAUUGUGUGCCUUCACACAACCUUCAAUCUU